CUACGGGAGGCUGCAGUGAGGAAUUUUGCGCAAUGGGGGAAACCCUGACGCAGCAACGCCGCGUGAGUGAUGAAGGCCUUCGGGUCGUAAAGCUCUGUCAAGUGGGAAGAACCUACCUAUGGGUAAUAUUCAUGGGUACUGACGGUACCACUGAAGGAAGCACCGGCUAACUCCGUGCCAGCAGCCGCGGUAAUACGGGGGGUGCGAGCGUUAUUCGGAAUUAUUGGGCGUAAAGGGCGCGUAGGCGGUCUUGUUAGUCAGAUGUGAAAGCCCGGGGCUCAACCCCGGAAGUGCAUUUGAUACUGCAAGACUUGAGUAUGGGAGAGGGAAGUGGAAUUCCUGGUGUAGAGGUGAAAUUCGUAGAUAUCAGGAGGAACAUCUGUGGCGAAGGCGACUUCCUGGACCAAUACUGACGCUGAGGCGCGAAGGCGUGGGUAGCAAACAGGAUUAGAUACCCCCGUAGUC
This 465-nucleotide ribosomal RNA is filed under the name uncultured bacterium. RNAcentral describes it as "partial 16S ribosomal RNA". It matches the Rfam family "Bacterial small subunit ribosomal RNA", at positions 339 to 795 of the family's 1533-position model. The record is from RNAcentral.